This 616-nucleotide ribosomal RNA is filed under the name uncultured bacterium. RNAcentral describes it as "bacterial SSU rRNA". It matches the Rfam family "Bacterial small subunit ribosomal RNA", at positions 235 to 842 of the family's 1533-position model. The record is from RNAcentral.
GGUGCAUUAGCUAGUUGGUAAGGUAACGGCUUACCAAGGCGAUGAUGCAUAGCCGAGUUGAGAGACUGAUCGGCCACAAUGGAACUGAGACACGGUCCAUACUCCUACGGGAGGCAGCAGUAGGGAAUCUUCCACAAUGGGCGCAAGCCUGAUGGAGCAACACCGCGUGAGUGAAGAAGGGUUUCGGCUCGUAAAGCUCUGUUGUUGGAGAAGAACGUGCGUGAGAGUAACUGUUCACGCAGUGACGGUAUCCAACCAGAAAGUCACGGCUAACUACGUGCCAGCAGCCGCGGUAAUACGUAGGUGGCAAGCGUUAUCCGGAUUUAUUGGGCGUAAAGCGAGCGCAGGCGGUUGCUUAGGUCUGAUGUGAAAGCCUUCGGCUUAACCGAAGAAGUGCAUCGGAAACCGGGCGACUUGAGUGCAGAAGAGGACAGUGGAACUCCAUGUGUAGCGGUGGAAUGCGUAGAUAUAUGGAAGAACACCAGUGGCGAAGGCGGCUGUCUGGUCUGCAACUGACACUGAGGCUCGAAAGCAUGGGUAGCGAACAGGAUUAGAUACCCUGGUAGUCCAUGCCGUAAACGAUGAGUGCUAGGUGUUGGAGGGUUUCCGCCCUUCA